UCCGGAGGGUGCAAUCAUUAAUCGGAUUUAUUGGGCGUAAAGGGCGCGUAGGCGGGGAGAUAAGUCAGAUGUGAAAUCCCGGGGCUCAACCCCGGAACAGCAUUUGAAACUAUCUCUCUAGAGGAUAGGCGGAGAAAACGGAAUUCCACAAGUAGCGGUGAAAUGCGUAGAUAUGUGGAAGAACACCGGUGGCGAAGGCGGUUUUCUAGCUUAGACCUGACGCUGAGGCGCGAAAGCAAGGGGAUCAAACAGG
This 253-nucleotide ribosomal RNA is filed under the name uncultured bacterium. RNAcentral describes it as "partial 16S ribosomal RNA". It matches the Rfam family "Bacterial small subunit ribosomal RNA", at positions 524 to 776 of the family's 1533-position model. The record is from RNAcentral.